CUUGUUAUUUAUAAGUAUUAAACGUAGAUUACUGACAAAACACAUUUCAUAAUCCCUAGGCUAUUUUGCGAGACGAAUCUAACGAGGUAUAUUAAUCCAUAAUUAGCGGAUGAUUACUGUAGCAAAUCAUGGAUUAAUAUAUCUCGUUAGAUUCGUCUCGCAAAAUAGCCUAGAGGUUAUGGAAUGGGUUUUGUCGGUAAUCUACGUUUAAUACUCCUAAAUAACAAG
RNAcentral lists this microRNA precursor (228 nucleotides) under Oryza sativa (Asian cultivated rice). Its description in RNAcentral is "miR11337 stem-loop (osa-MIR11337)". The record is from miRBase by way of RNAcentral. Lineage: Eukaryota; Viridiplantae; Streptophyta; Magnoliopsida; Poales; Poaceae.